GAUGAACGCUGGCGGCGUGCCUAAUACAUGCAAGUCGAGCGAACAGACGAGGAGCUUGCUCCUCUGACGUUGGCGGCGGACGGGUGAGUAACACGUGGAUAACCUACCUAUAAGACUGGGAUAACUUCGGGAAACCGGAGCUAAUACCGGAUAAUAUAUUGAACCGCAUGGUUCAAUAGUGAAAGACAGUUUUGCUGUCACUUAUAGAUGGAUCCGCGCCGCAUUAGCUAGUUGGUAAGGUAACGGCUUACCAAGGCAACGAUGCGUAGCCGACCUGAGAGAGUGAUCGGCCACACUGGAACGGAGACACGGUCCAGACUCCUACGGGAGGCAGCAGUAGGGAAUCUUCCGCAAUGGGCGAAAUCCUGACGGAGCAACGCCGCGUGAGUGAUGAAGGUCUUCGGAUCGUAAAACUCUGUUAUUAGGGAAGAACAAAUGUGUAAGUAACUAUGCACGUCUUGACGGUACCUAAUCAGAAAGCCACGGCUAACUACGUU
RNAcentral lists this ribosomal RNA (497 nucleotides) under uncultured bacterium. Its description in RNAcentral is "partial 16S ribosomal RNA". It matches the Rfam family "Bacterial small subunit ribosomal RNA", at positions 28 to 507 of the family's 1533-position model. The record is from RNAcentral.